UGGUGAAUUUUGGACAAUGGGGGAAACCCUGAUCCAGCCAUCCCGCGUGUGCGAUGAAGGCCUUCGGGUUGUAAAGCACUUUUGGCAGGAAAGAAACGUCAUGGGUUAAUACCCCGUGAAACUGACGGUACCUGCAGAAUAAGCACCGGCUAACUACGUGCCAGCAGCCGCGGUAAUACGUAGGGUGCAAGCGUUAAUCGGAAUUACUGGGCGUAAAGCGGGCGCAGGCGGUUCGGAAAGAAAGAUGUGAAAUCCCAAAGCUCAACUUUGGAACUGCAUUUUUAACUACCGGGCUAGAGUGUGUCAGAGGGAGGUGGAAUUCCGCGUGUAGCAGUGAAAUGCGUCGAUAUGCGGAGGAACACCGAUGGCGAGGGCAGCCUCCUGGGAUAACACUGGCGCUAAUGCACGAAAGCGUGGGGAGCAAACAGG
Molecule: ribosomal RNA, 429 nt
Filed under: Acidobacteriota bacterium
Lineage: Bacteria; Pseudomonadati; Acidobacteriota
Description: Acidobacteria bacterium partial 16S ribosomal RNA
Rfam family: Bacterial small subunit ribosomal RNA
Source: RNAcentral